Molecule: ribosomal RNA, 253 nt
Filed under: uncultured bacterium
Lineage: Bacteria
Description: partial 16S ribosomal RNA
Rfam family: Bacterial small subunit ribosomal RNA
Source: RNAcentral
UACGUAGGGGGCAAGCGUUGUCCGGAAUCAUUGGGCGUAAAGAGCGUGUAGGCGGCUUGGUAAGUCUGCUGUGAAAGUCCAGGGCUCAACCCUGGAACGCCGGUGGAAACUGUCAAGCUUGAGUCCGGAAGAGGCGAGUGGAAUUCCUGGUGUAGCGGUGAAAUGCGCAGAUAUCAGGAGGAACACCAAUGGCGAAGGCAGCUCGCUGGGACGGUACUGACGCUGAGACGCGAAAGCGUGGGGAGCAAACAGG